RNAcentral lists this ribosomal RNA (301 nucleotides) under uncultured bacterium. RNAcentral's name for it is "partial 16S ribosomal RNA". It matches the Rfam family "Bacterial small subunit ribosomal RNA", at positions 509 to 807 of the family's 1533-position model. The record is from RNAcentral.
CAGCCGCCACGGUAAUACGGAGGGGGCUAGCGUUGUUCGGAAUUACUGGGCGUAAAGCGCACGUAGGCGGCUUUGUGAGUUAGAGGUGAAAGCCCGGAGCUCAACUCCGGAAUUGCCUUUAAGACUGCAGAGCUAGCAGGUGAGAGAGGUGAGUGGAAUUCCGAGUGUAGAGGUGAAAUUCGUAGAUAUUCGGAAGAACACCAGUGGCGAAGGCGGCUCACUGGCUCAUACUGGACGCUGAGGUGCGAAAGCGUGGGGAGCAGACAAGAUUAGAUACCCCCGUAGUCCCUGUCUCUUAUAC